UCGAGGAUCAUUCGCAAUGCGCGAAAGCGUGACGAUGCGACGCUGCGUGGAGGAUGAAGGCCUUCGGGUCGUAAACUCCUGUCAUUCGGGAACAAUAACAAGAAGGUGAAUAACCUUUUUGGAUGAUAGUACCGGAAGAGGAAGCCACGGCUAACUCUGUGCCAGCAGCCGCGGUAAUACAGAGGUGGCGAGCGUUGUUCGGAUUUACUGGGCGUAAAGGGUGCGUAGGUGGUUUUGUGUGUCGGAUGUGAAAUCUCACUGCUCAACGGUGAAAUGGCAUUCGAAACUGCAGAACUUGAGUGCAGGAGAGGAGAGCGGAAUUCUUGGUGUAGCGGUGGAAUGCGUUGAGAUCAAGAAGAACACCGGUGGCGUAGGCGGCUCUCUGGUAUGCAACUGACACUGAGGCACGAAAGUUGGGGGAGCAAACAGG
RNAcentral lists this ribosomal RNA (430 nucleotides) under uncultured bacterium. RNAcentral describes it as "bacterial SSU rRNA". It matches the Rfam family "Bacterial small subunit ribosomal RNA", at positions 355 to 776 of the family's 1533-position model. The record is from RNAcentral.